This 94-nucleotide transfer RNA is filed under the name Verrucomicrobiota bacterium. RNAcentral's name for it is "Verrucomicrobia bacterium tRNA-Sec". It matches the Rfam family "Selenocysteine transfer RNA". Lineage: Bacteria; Pseudomonadati; Verrucomicrobiota. The record is from RNAcentral.
GGAGAGUGAAGUGUGGCUGGUGUUCGCCGCGGUCCUCAAAACCGUUGUCGGUAUUUAUAUGCCGAGGUAGGUUCGAUUCCUACCCUCUCCGCCA